Non-coding RNA from Pelobates cultripes (western spadefoot toad), 293 nucleotides. NCBI's taxonomy places the organism in Eukaryota, Metazoa, Chordata, Amphibia, Anura, Pelobatidae. The record is from the annotation of a GenBank genome assembly.
CCGCCUGACAUUUUAGCUGUAAAUGUCAUGAUACUGUUCGCUUUUACUGCAAUAAAAUGCACAUAUUUGUAUUCAGCAAUGUCUCACGAGUAAAACAGUACCCCCCAUUAACAGAUUUUACAGUGUUUUGGAAAGUUACAGGGUUAAAUAUAGCAUAUUCCAUUUUUUCACAUUAAUAUUUGCCAGAUUAGUAAUGUUAACUUUGAGACCAUGUGGUAGCCCAGGAAUGAGAAGUACCCCCAUGAUGGCAUACCAUUUGCAAAAGUACACAACCCAAGGUAUUGCAAGUGGGG